CGACUUGGACUUCGCCGGGGAAAGAGGGGCGGCGGUUGCUAUCACACAAACAGCACCCGGGCAAAGACGCUGCGCCGCGCCGCCGCUUCUCUGUCACCUCGCUUUUAUUCGCCUACAGACGCGGUGCAGCAUAUCUUCACCACCCGGUCCUUUCCUUUCGGUUGUGCAGCUCUUUCUCGACCACCGCACUCCGACAGUCCCGCCAUCGAUAUCUUUCUGCCUCCCCCACCCCUCUUCUCCUCCCUCGUCUGCCAUUCACACGGGCAGCGCUCUCGCAGGCGGCGAAGCGGUCGAGAAAAAGCAGGCCUUUGCGCAGAGGGACCACGGCGAGGAAACAUAGGCUCUCAUGCCAGUCUUUUCUGCACGAACGCAGCGCGCUGCGUCGCGAGGCGCUCACAGCAUCGGAGCGACGAAAAAGUCUCUCAAAUCCUUCUUCCCCGCCUCAUCGAACAGGCCUGCUGCUGCACCACCGCCGAAGACGCGGAUGGAGGUGACGCCGCCGACGGCGGAGUUCAUUAACUACGAUGUAGAUACCACCUAUGUAAUGCCGCUCGAGGUGCGCAACCGCACAGACGAGAUACUGACACUGCGCUUUGUGAAGCCGGCGCGGCACCCCGGCACCUUCCGACUCGUCAACGGUGCCUCGGUGCGUGUGGCACCUGGACUGGCACACACCGUGGAGAUUGAGUUCACCACCCACGCUCCGCAGGACUACGCGGAUGCGCUGGUGAUCCUCAGCAGCGACGGCGGCCGCGUCGAGGUGCCGCUGACGGCGUGCCGCGUGCCGCUGAUAGAGUUCCCUCCGACAGUGAACUUCGGCAAGGUGGAGCAGCAGCUGGCGUGCCCUAUGCGCACGCUGACGCUGGUGAAUCGUGGCCGAAAAGACGCUGCCGUCACGUUUGUGCUGGACGAGGGAGACGAGAGGGGAGGCGGUACGGCGUGCGGGGUAGUGCUGAGCAGCACCGCUGUUACGGCGCCGGCAGAGGGCCGCACGACUGUCACGCUGGAGCUGAAGCCGCUGCCGCCUGGUCGGCACACAUGGCAUAUUCCAGUGGAAAUGAACGGGCAGCGCCUGCCGACUCUCCUGGAGGUGAGCGCGGAGGUAGUGGACUGUCGGAGCCGUCUUUUCGAUCCGCAGACACACGAGGAUGUGGUCUCGGUGGAGUUUCCGGAGACGUUUGACGGCAACAAGGCAAGCCAUCAGUUGGAGGUGGUGAACGGCGGGUCGCAGGCGAUCAGCUUUGCCAUACGCUCCGCGCACGACAUCUCCGAAGGCGGAGCAGCGCCUUUCCGCUUUGUGCCCACCCAAGGGCGGCUACCGCCGCAGGGACGCCUUAUCGUCAAGGCGCUGUUUACACCACAGCUGAAGUUGCGUCGCACCGGCUGGAACACCACCCCGAGAAGUGCGCCUGCUGAGACCGCUGAGGUUCACAAGUACGAGGCUCUCUUCACCUUGCUAUUUGUGGAGACGGAGCAGACGCAGAGCUUCCGGAUGGUGGGCACGUCGUGCGAGACCCUCGUCCGUCUCUCUACCUCCGUCGUUGACUUCGGUGCCUGUGUCCUGAGGAGGUCGAAAGAGUCGAAUCUGACGCUCACGAAUGGUGUGGCCCACCUUCCCAUGCGCUACGCACUGCAAUGCCCGCCGCACUUCUCCGUCACACCGGCGCGCGGCGUAGUGGCCGCUGGCGGAAGUGCCACGUUGCGCUUGGAGUUCCGCCCGCGCCGCCUCGAACCUUACGUGGAGACGCUCACGCUGACCGCCAACGAUACGGUGACGUGCGCAGUGGAACUGCGGGGCACGCCGCUGUACCGCGAAGGCGCCGAGGCGCCGGUGGCUGCUCCCCCUUCAGCACCGGAAGACGAGGUCGCGGUACCAGCGGCGGUGGAUCUCGGUAUGAUCCCGGCAGAGGGGCUGGCACCACCCUCACUCCCCAGGCAGGUGCCCGCGGCGGUGCUGAUGGCGGAAGAUACAGCGGUGCAGAGCUACCGCAGUGGCCACGUUGCACCACCUGUGUUCGAUGUGCAUUCUUUGGCAAAGCGGCGCUUCUAUGCCGCCCCGACAACACCGCAGGAGCGUCGUGACUGCAAGCGCGAGUUGACACCGAUGGAGGUGCUCAACGUUGUGCUGCCGUCUAAGUUGCUGAACUUCGGACGCGUCACUAUCCAUGCUGAUGCAGCGUUGUCACUCUUCGUGUACAACGGUACCAAGGCAAGCAUCCAGGUGGGCGUGCCCACCGAGGCGGAAGGGCCUGUGACAGUGGAGCCUGCCAGCCAGGUUGUGCCGGCCCAGCGCAUGGCGCAAUUCGACGUGCAUAUCUGCUCUGGCACGGUUCAGGUCUUCCAGCAGGUAAUGCGCGUCACUGUGAACCAGCAGCAUUACAUGCGCUUCACGGUGCAGGCGGAUGUGGUGCCAGUAGAGGUGACCCUCUCGCAGACGCAGGUGCUGCUGUCGCUGACGGGGCAGGCCGAGGAGCCUGUGUGCACGGCGCAGGUGGCACUCACGAACAAGGGCAACUGCGCCGUGGCGUAUCGCUGGCAUCUCCCGGCGCCGUCAUGCGAGUUCGAGGUGGAGCCGCAGGUUGGACUACUAAACGCCAGCGAGCAACGCGGCGCUACGUUCUAUUUCCGCCCUGCCGCCGGCACAUCGCAGGCCUCUUGCGAGGCUCGUCUGGAGGUGGUGGGGGCGACGGAGGACAAGGUGCUGCUGCUGACUGGCAGCGUGGCGCCGGCGAGGUGUGCGUGGGGCGCAUCUUCGCUUCUCAAGACGCCUCCGCUAGCCCCGGCCUCAAAGGAGGCGGCUGCUGUGUCCAGCACACUGGCCUUGGGGCGCAUCGCAGCCGGCGUCCCCGCCUUAGCGACGCUCCCUCUUACCAACAAAGGCAGGACGAACGCGUACUUCUCCAUUGGCGCGUUGCCCGCAUGGCUGACGGUGUCGCCGUCACAGGGGCGCGUCUGCGUUGGUGAGACGGAGGAGCUCACGGUGCGUGUGCGGCAUGCGGUGGCAGGUGCAGCGGCGCAUAUGGUAGAGUGCCAUGUUUCUGGCAUGCGGCGUCCACUGGUGGCACGUGUGGAGGCGACCGUUGUGGCGCCACCGCUGUCUGUGGAGCUGGAUGGCAAGGAGCAGGCUGAGGCGCACCUAGACUUCGGGCACGUCUACGUCGGCUGCCCGCAGUCGCGCUCGGUGACGCUGCGCAAUGGCGGCGACGUGGCUGCCGCUGUGCGUGUCAACUUAGAGUCGUGCACCUACUACUCGCUGGACUCGCCUGUGCUGGAGGACGAAGGGCAGCAAGACGUAGUGGACAGCGUAAUGUCACUUGCGACGCUGGAUGACACAAAGCGCUCGCGUCUUAUGUCGCGCGUGCGGUCUCUGCACUCUUUUACUGUGGCCGACCGCAAAAUGUCGAUCGGCGUCGCCACCGCAACUGUCGUGGUGCCGUCGUUGUCGGAGUACACACUUCGUCUUUCAUUCGACCCUCUGCGUGCUGCUGCGGCGCAGCGCUGCCCUGUUCGCUGGCAUCAACUUGGCGCAGAUGAUGUGCAUCCGCUGCCGCCGUUUACUGUGGAGGCCACCGCGUUGGUGCCGCCGGUUGUGCUGAGCGCGAGGACGGUGUCAUUUCCCGGCGUGGUGGUUGGCCAGCGCCCGCCGCCGCGAGUGGUCUUCGUCCGACACGGGGAUCUGAGGAUGCCGCCGCCGUUGGCGAGACCGAGACCGGUCGCGUGGCGGCUGGAGACGGAGGAAGGAACGCCAAGCUUCCUGUUGGAGCCCCAUCGCGGCGUCCUGGGCGUGGGGGAGGAGCAGGCUGUCACCAUCACGUAUCUGCCCACGAGCGCUGGGCGGCUGCAGGUGUGCGCGCUACUAAAGACGGAGGAGGCGGAGAGCCCUACAGGGGCGCCGUGCGCGUGUUGCACUAUCAGCGCCUCAGCCACCAACCCACGCGUGCGCAGCGACCGCACCUCUCUGGUGUUCCCAGUUUUGCCGCUCGGUGUCGCGGUGGAGACGACGGUGCUGCUCCACAACGAGGGCUACGACGCCGUGCGCGUUGAGUAUCCCGGUUCCUGCGACCCGCCGCUGCGGGUGUCGUUCCCCGACGGCGACUCCAUGGGUGCCGCGCUGCGGUCCACCCUCCCUGUCACUUUUACCUUCUGCAGUCCCACGCCGAUUUCGGUGCGCUCUGCCAUCCGCCUGCACACGGACGCCGGGGGCUACAUCGACAUCUCCAUCAGCGGCGGCGCCGUGAACUCAGUCAUCACCACUGAGGCUUUUCUGUCAUACAUGUUUCGCACUACACCCACCACCACCACGGCAGCUGCCGCCGGCGAGGGCAACGACAGCUCGCACGUGCUACAGCGUUGGGCCAGAGACCACGAAUCCGUCGUGGGUGCGGAGCUACCGCUAGUGUGCACCUUCCCGGCUGCCUUGGAUGGCGCGCGUGAUGGCCAGCACGACCUGGUAAACAUGAUCGAGGAGAGCGUUCAAUGGGAGGCGGAGCGAGCGUGGCUGACGGCGUGGUGGAACGCUUUUGUGUGCCGCACUCCUGUGCAGGAUGUGGUGGAGGCGCUUCAGGCGACUCGCGGCGGGAUUGUUGGCGACAUGAUACAUCAGUUCACCGGCAAGCGGCCUCGACGUAACGAGGCUCUGGAGUCUUCCUUGACCACCUCUAAGCGUGCAAACGAAGAGAACGGCGCUGGAUCCGCCGUGACGGCGACGGCCCAUGACCGCAAGGGGACGUCCCGCCGCGGGACGCGGCGGCAGCCGCCGUCGGAGGCGGCCGGCACUCCCACACCUCCCGCUUCUUCGAACACAACGCCAAAGGAGCUGCGCACCCUUCACACACUCAUCCAGUACGUGUGCUCCUGCGGUGGGUGCCUGACCAAUGUGGAGCUGCCGUUCCUGCUUCCCUUCGACGCGUUUGUCGAGCAUGCGGCCGCGCACACCCCAUCCGCGCUGGAGCAACUCUCUGACAUCGUUGAAAGUGAGGAUCUGGAGUCGGCGUUCCAGCGGCGCGCGACUGCGUCGUGGGUGGCCGUGCUGCGCGAGUGUCUAAGGCUCUUCUACGUGCCGCAGGUGCGUGUAACAGCGGCUACUCCGGUGCCGCCGGCUCUGCGCGGGUGGCCGUCCUCGUCGUUGUCGCAACGUUCGCUGAGCCGAAGUAGCAUCUACAGCGAGGAGGAGUCGCUGCUCCUGCGUUGGGUGGCCGCCUGUGUCGAGGUCUUCGCGACCGGCGACAACAAGGACCUUCACGAGAGUCUAUCCGCUAUCUCGCCGCGGAGUUUCGAAGAUCUACGCGAUGCGCAGGCGCUCAUCGUUGUUGUGCUGACGUACGUGCCAUUCUUGGCGUACCAGGUGCGCGAGGCUAUCGCCUCGGCCACACAACAGAGCCGCGAGGGUAAUGCCACGGUUCUCUUGAACCUUCUGCAAACCUUGGGGGUUGCAGGACUUCCUCUUGCGGAUGCCUUCGUAUCUGCGUCGGCAACGCAGAUGGUGCUCCUCCUUACCCACCUCUUCGUGUAUCUGCCAAAGUUCAUCAACGCCGUUCCCGUGCACUUUCACGGCAGAGCCCUCACCACGCUGACAGAGACAGUCACCGUCGAAAACACGUCCCCUGAGCCGCGCGAAUACUGCGUUCUCCUACCAGAUGCCCCGCUCUUCCGUGCGAACACCGACAAGCUGACUGUGGCGCCGCGAAGCUCGACACAGGUGACGCUGUCGAUCCUUCCGCGCACGCGGCGACCAGUGAGUGGACAUUGUGUGCUGGUCGACUGCUCCUCGCAGGUGCCGCCGGCGGAGCGGGUACCGUUCGUGUUUCAGCUCAAGGCCACGCCAACGAUGGAGCCGCUGCAGACGCUGUACGUGGAGACACCGCAGUACGAGUGCCUUCAGUCAGAGCUGCAUAUCAUCAACCCCUUCUCCGAGGAUUGCGUGGUGAGUCUUCGAGUGGCGCAGAUGCGUCUUCCGGAUGCGGCGAAGACGACGGACGCCGCAUCGACACCCGAAGCUGCCGAGCCGUGGCUGAGUGGUGACGACGCGUCCUUCUGGCGUCACAAGCACGAUGCUCCCUUCACAGUUUCCACAGAGGUCCUCUCGCUGCGCCGCGGCGAGCCGACACGGCUGCCCUUCUCGUUCGCGCCCCUCUCACGCGGUGUGUACCGUCUGGUGCUGACCUUCUGGGAAGAGCGGGAGGGCGAGUUCACGUGGGCUGUGGAGGCGACGAGCGGAUGGCCCAAGCCGGUCGACACCAACCUGGAACUGCGUGUGGAACUUGGGGAGAGCUGCACGUCUACACUCAACGUCAAGAGCAGCAACGCAUCGCUCGAGCGCUGUGUAAAGUUCUACGAGGAUCGCGCGCACAGCACCCAGUACACCGACGUCAGUCGUCUACUUAGCGGGGCUCGCUACGCUGUGCACUUUGUGAAUGAGCGCAUGGAGGGCCCCAACCCCUUUUUCCUGCCCAGUCAGAGCACGUGUCUCGCAUCCACCGCUCCAGCAACGACGUGGCCGAUAACCUUCACGUUCAAGCCGCAGUGCGUCGGGGUGUACCGCACCUAUGCAUUGCUGAUAUCGGAGGCCGAUGUGCGACUCCUGCUGAUCGUCGGUGAGUGCGUGCCGAAAGGAGACCGCAGAGAGCUGCAGUUUUUGUGUCCGGCGCGCCAGACCAUCGUGCAGCAAAUCACGCUGUGCAACUACAGCACCACAGAGGACUGGCUGUUCACCGCCACGUUCGAGGGCUCCGCACAGUUCAGCGGGCCGCACGACGUGCGCGUGCCGAGUGGACGGUCAAAGGAGUACGCGAUCAAGUAUGCCCCGUCGUGGAUCAGCGGAGAGGAGACGGCGACGCUCGUGCUGCUGAACGGCUCCACUGGGCAGAAGCACACCUAUGCCCUCGUGGGCACCGCAGAGGCGCCCCUGUCCGAGGGCAUCCUGACGCUGGACUGCCGAGCGCGCGAUCACGAGACACUGGAGAUGAUGGUGCCGAACAUUUGCAGUCAGGACACGACGUACUUUGUGAAGACGGACUUGGCGUGCUGCGAGGGCGAGUCGCCGUCGCUUGUCAUCCCACGAGCGUCGAGCCGCCGCUUUGCCAUGAAGGUGUCCCCCACCGUCGGCGGCGACUACUCCGGCCGCGUCACCUUCACGGGCUCGAAUGGGCGAUAUGUAUGGUACGCGGUGCAGCUGCACGUGGCCCCGCCGGAGAAGGAGGGCCUCGUCGAGCUCCGCACAAACGUUCGGACGGCGAUGGUGGCGGAUGUCUCAGUGACGAACCCACUCGAUUCUGCACUGAUGUUCAAGGUCCACCGAUACGGCGCAGGGCUGUACGGCGCGAACACCUUCCAGCUGGCACCCAAAGCUGCUGCCACCUACAGCCUUCUCUUUGUGCCGACCCAAGCCGGCGAGUCGACGGGGCGACUUUCCCUGGUGAGCGAGGCUGCCGGUGAGUUUUGGUAUGAGCUGCACAUGACAGUGACGGAGGCGGAGCCGGAGCCCCUGCCCUUCCCGCCAACCCCCAUUGGCCAGUCGCAGGUGAUGCAGGUGCGCCUGCCCAACCGAGGUGACGCGAGCUCGGUCCUGACGGUGGAGUCGACGGACGCGGCGUGCUUUGGGGUGCGCCAGCCGCGGGUCGUGCUGCCGGCACACUCGGAAAGUGUUGUCGAGCUCGUCUUUACGCCACGCUGCGUUGGUGUCGAGCAGACGGCCGUGGUGACACUGCGCAACCCCGAACUGGGAUGCUGGCGCUACAGAUGUGUCGGUACGGGCACGGCUCCCUUGACAGAAGAGACGCUGACGUGCACUUGCGACGUCGGGACGACGAGCACACUGUUGCUGCCCUUCACGAAUGUCCUGAAGCGAGACACCGCGAUAGAGGUGCGGCUGAGCGGAGACACGACGGCCUUCGCCCUGCACACGGUGCCGACCGGGGUGGUGGCGACCGGUGCCUCCGUGUCCCUUGUCGUGACGUUCAGACCCUCUCUGGUGAAGCGCCAUGCCGCUGUUGUUGAGGUUCGUCCGGCGGUGCGGCGCAGCGACAAGACCUAUGACGUCACGUGGACCUACCCAAUCGAGGGUUGCUGCGUGUACCGACAGACGCAACCAUCUCUGCGUUUGCGCUGCGCUUCUCGCGCGCAGUAUAACGACACCAUGUACGUGCACGCACCUGGGCUGCCGCCGGGUCUCGCCUCCGCCUUCUCCGUGGUCUUCGAGGUGGACCCUCAGAAGUCCUACGCGGCUGCCGCGGCGGCGAGUGUGUCAUGUAGCGUGACCAUGCCGAGCCCGUACCCCGACGGGUUCGAGCUGAACCUCAAGUUUGCCCCGCUGCGGCCGCUCGUCGGGUCAGGGUGGGUGGUGCUGCGCAGUGCGGAGGGCGGCAUGUGGCAGUACCGAGUGCAGCUGGAGUCCACCCCGGCGCCCGUCGACGACACUAUCGUGCUGUACGGCGAGUACAAGGAGAGCACCUCAGUCUCUUUUGACCUGUACAACGUGUUUCCCUACCGCUCCACCUUCUUCGCGUACUUCACGGCUGACAGCUCCAAGGACUUUACUGUGUCACCCGCACACGGGGUGCUGCUUCCGUUUGUGCCUGGACAGCGAGGGGCCGCCACGGCCACCAACGUGCAGAUCUCUGUGCACCCCUCUUCCCGCAUCCCUCAAAUCGAGGGCACACUCGUGGUGGACACGGACGAUAUGCAGUGGACCUUCCGCGUGCUGGGCAAGUUCGGCCACCAAUCCCGGCCACCCAACUAAGGAUUUAGUCAUAUGCUGGCUGUGACUGGAGGAGAGGUCUUGUGGCGCGCCUUUGCUUCUGUGACAUGUAUCUGUGUUUUGUCUACCGCGUUUGUGCAUGUGCUCACACGCAUGAUGUAUAGUUUGCAUCUCACUGUUGCUCCUUCUGUUUGUAUGUUUAGGGCACCUCCCCGCCACCCCUCACACCCCUGGAAGUGCUCGCAUGCCGAUGUUUUUGCUCGCUCCCACUCUGCCUUUCUGCGCGUAUACAGGAGACCCCCUAGAUUAACCUAUUGCCUUCGCACUCCACCCCCUCCCGUUCUUGGUGGCUGGCGUGCUCCCGCAUCGUGCGUGCGCAUCGGUGGCUGUGCUGCAAGAAAAGCGCCGCGUUGCCAAGCAGCUCUUUCUACAGCGCCUGC
This 9135-nucleotide unclassified non-coding RNA is filed under the name Leishmania donovani. Its description in RNAcentral is "gene:LdHU3.22.2110(CDS-product:hypothetical_prote in_conserved)". Lineage: Eukaryota; Euglenozoa; Kinetoplastea; Trypanosomatida; Trypanosomatidae. The record is from RNAcentral.